RNAcentral lists this transfer RNA (63 nucleotides) under Rattus norvegicus (Norway rat). It matches the Rfam family "tRNA". From Rfam's summary of the family: Transfer RNA (tRNA) molecules are approximately 80 nucleotides in length. Their secondary structure includes four short double-helical elements and three loops (D, anti-codon, and T loops). Lineage: Eukaryota; Metazoa; Chordata; Mammalia; Rodentia; Muridae. The record is from Rfam by way of RNAcentral.
GGGGAUUUAGCUCAGUGGUAGAGCGCUUGCCUAGCAAGUGUAAGGGCCUGGGUUCAGUCCCCA